CCUACGGGUGGCAGCAGUGGGGAAUAUUGCGCAAUGGGGGAAAGCCUGACGCAGCAACGCCGCGUGGAGGAUGAAGGUUUUCGGAUUGUAAACUCCUGUUGUUAGAGAAGAUAUUGACUCUAUCUAACGAAUAGUCACCGGAUAACUCCGUGACAGCAGCCGCGGUAAUACGGAGGGUGCAAGCGUUAGUCGGAAGUACUGGUCGUAAAGAGCACGUAGGCGGCAUAGCAAGGCAGAUGUGAAAUCCCACGGCUUAACCGUAGAACUGCAUUUGAAACUGUUAAUCUAGAGUAUGGGAGAGGGAGGUGGAAUUCUUGGUGUAGGGGUGAAAUCCGUAGAGAUCAAGAGGAAGA
Molecule: ribosomal RNA, 353 nt
Filed under: uncultured bacterium
Lineage: Bacteria
Description: partial 16S ribosomal RNA
Rfam family: Bacterial small subunit ribosomal RNA
Source: RNAcentral